This 27-nucleotide non-coding RNA is filed under the name Bombyx mori (domestic silkworm). Lineage: Eukaryota; Metazoa; Arthropoda; Insecta; Lepidoptera; Bombycidae. The record is from RNAcentral.
UCCAAGUUAAGGGCAUGUUCGAGCUUC